GACGAACGCUGGCGGCGUGCUUAACACAUGCAAGUCGAACGGAAAGGCCCUGCUUUUGUGGGGUGCUCGAGUGGCGAACGGGUGAGUAACACGUGAGUAACCUGCCCUUGACUUUGGGAUAACUUCAGGAAACUGGGGCUAAUACCGGAUAGGAGCCCCUGCUGCAUGGUGGGGGUUGGAAAGUUUCGGCGGUUGGGGAUGGACGCGCGGCUUAUCAGCUUGUUGGUGGGGUAGUGGCUUACCCAGGCUUUGACGGGUAGCCGGCCUGAGAGGGUGACCGGCCACAUUGGGACUGAGAUACGGCCCAGACUCCUACGGGAGGCAGCAGUGGGGAAUAUUGCACAAUGGGCGGAAGCCUGAUGCAGCAACGCCGCGUGCGGGAUGACGGCCUUCGGGUUGUAAACCGCUUUCGCCUGUGACGAAGCGUGAGUGACGGUAAUGGGUAAAGAAGCACCGGCUAACUACGUG
This 468-nucleotide ribosomal RNA is filed under the name uncultured bacterium. RNAcentral describes it as "partial 16S ribosomal RNA". It matches the Rfam family "Bacterial small subunit ribosomal RNA", at positions 28 to 507 of the family's 1533-position model. The record is from RNAcentral.